UACGUAGGUGGCGAGCGUUAUCCGGAAUGAUUGGGCGUAAAGGGUGCGUAGGCGGCCUGCUAAGUCUGGAGUGAAAGGUACCGGCUCAACCGGUACAGGCUCUGGAAACUGGCGGGCUAGAGAGCAGGAGAGGAGAGUGGAAUUCCAUGUGUAGCGGUGAAAUGCGUAGAUAUAUGGAGGAACACCGGUGGCGAAAGCGGCUCUCUGGUCUGUAACUGACGCUGAGGUUCGAAAGCGUGGGUAGCAAACAGG
RNAcentral lists this ribosomal RNA (252 nucleotides) under uncultured bacterium. RNAcentral describes it as "partial 16S ribosomal RNA". It matches the Rfam family "Bacterial small subunit ribosomal RNA", at positions 524 to 776 of the family's 1533-position model. The record is from RNAcentral.